This is a long non-coding RNA of Armigeres subalbatus, 838 nucleotides long. RefSeq lists it as uncharacterized. The record is from RefSeq and is a predicted model, not a curated record. NCBI's taxonomy places the organism in Eukaryota, Metazoa, Arthropoda, Insecta, Diptera, Culicidae. The transcript has 4 exons.
UCGUCGCUAGUACAUAAGCGCAACAUGAGAAACCGUUCAUCACUCUGGAACCGGGACGAUACCAAUACAUUGUGAGAUAAUUUCCACUUGCGUUGCGAGACCACGGUUGCUCGUCAGACUGAUACGGACAUCGGAAUAAAGUGAAUGGGCGGCCGACAUCAAGAGUGCGCGACCAAAAAACUCUCUCGCUCACGACCACCAGUACAGUCCUGCUCACAGUUCGAGUGAGUCUCUAAUGAAGAGAGCACCAACACAAUUGAAGCCGGUUGCAGAUUGGCAAGUGCGACAUAGGAGCAAGGCAAACAGUUCGCACUAGGCCCCGCGACAGAUCGUGCGAUCAAAAGUCCGUGCGGUGAAAUAAAAGUAGCAGUGGUGCAAUUUGUGCUACCAGACCGGUAGCAAAAUAAGCAGAAAAGCUUGGAAAAGGUGGUGUUUGGCACAUUAGCAUAAAGCUGGGUCAACUAGCGGUGACGACUGUGCGGAAAAAUCAGGGAAAUUCGUCUGACGGCAGGGUAAGAACCCAGAAGCGCGUGCUUUUAAAGGCAGGAAGCAAUCAAAAGGAAUUGAUUAGCAUACUAACACCGGACAUCCAUAGCAACAUCAGACCAACAGGCAUUCCCACUCACCAUCCGCCAAAGAAAAUACCGACACGCGUGGCAUUAGCGAUCGCCUCGAUUACCGGUCAGUUGUCGUAGGCCGAUCUGUGUAGCAGAACGUACCGGCGCCAAAAAGCAACAACUAAACAGUGCUCGGGCAAAGAUUGCCAGUGGCCGGCGAGCGACCCAGUCGUGGGUAGAAGCGGAUUCGGAAUUAGCUUCGUUGGCAGAAGAAGGAGCCC